Molecule: long non-coding RNA, 708 nt
Organism: Rosa rugosa (rugosa rose)
Lineage: Eukaryota; Viridiplantae; Streptophyta; Magnoliopsida; Rosales; Rosaceae
Exons: 4
Source: RefSeq, a predicted model, not a curated record
CUUUCAUUGGUAAUGGUUGCUGAUUUAGGUUUUAGAUAUGAAGAGUCAAACUUUAAGUUUUAGGGUGAAGGGAAGGGAGGAAAGGAAGGAGAGGCGAAACUGGAAAGGAUGGAAAAGGAGAACAAACUUUAGUUUAAGGAACUUAUUCCUUUGUAGAAAUGGAUGGUAUGGGAAACACUGUAGCACAAUAGAAUGAGCGCGAGAAGAUUCAAUCUUUUCUGGCUUCUUUUCCGGUGAUACCAUGCAUAGGUGGACUUUGGACCAAGAAGCUCUAAAGUUAUGGGGCGAGUGUAUGCAAUUAAAUUUCCCGCUGAGCAACUACGUGAAUGACAUGGAGGAGAUGAAGUGUUCACCAAGAAAGACUAUAUGCUCCAUAUCCGAAGAAACAUGACAAGAUUUGCCAAGACAAUGUCCAAAUAUUGUGGAAAUUCAACGUAAUCUCUCUCGGAAAGAAUACACGCUUCACCAAGGGAUUAUCUGCUUGACAAACUCAGCUGGAGCCUGUUUUUGAUUAGGUUGUCACUGCAAGAGAUUAUCAAAUCAACAAUAACUGUUUUGAAAUCAUUAUGUUUACAUAGAAUACUAGAAUAGUCAGUCAUAGUAUAAAUAGAUGAGUAGGAGUACUACUGCAAAGAGAUUAUCAAGUUUUUAGUUACAUUGUAAACUCCAUGUCUUAAGCCAUCUCUAGCAAUGGAGAGCUAUAUUGGA